UACGGAGGUUGCGAGCGUUGUUCGGAAUAACUGGGCGUAAAGGGAGCGCAGGCGGUUCGGUAAGUCUAAAGUGGAAGCCCGGGGCUUAACCCCGGAAGUGCUUUGGAUACUGUCGAACUCGAGUUCGUGAGAGGAAAGCGGAAUUCCAGGUGUAGCGGUGAAAUGCGUAGAUAUCUGGAGGAACACCGGUGGCGAAAGCGGCUUUCUGGCGCGAUACUGACGCUGAGGCUCGAAAGCAUCCGGAGCAAACAGG
RNAcentral lists this ribosomal RNA (253 nucleotides) under uncultured bacterium. RNAcentral's name for it is "partial 16S ribosomal RNA". It matches the Rfam family "Bacterial small subunit ribosomal RNA", at positions 524 to 776 of the family's 1533-position model. The record is from RNAcentral.